GUGAGGAAUCUUCCACAAUGGGCGAAAGCCUGAUGGAGCAACGCCGCGUGAAGGAUGAAGGUCUUCGGAUUGUAAACUUCUUUUAUGAGUGAAGAAUAUGACGGUAACUCAUGAAUAAGCACCGGCUAACUACGUGCCAGCAGCCGCGGUCAUACGUAGGGUGCAAGCAUUAUCCGGAGUGACUGGGCGUAAAGAGUUGCGUAGGCGGUUAUGUAAGCGAAUAGUGAAACCUGGUGGCUCAACCACAUAGACUAUUAUUCGAACUGCAUAACUCGAGAAUGGUAGAGGUAACUGGAAUUUCUUGUGUAGGAGUGAAAUCCGUAGAUAUAAGAAGGAACACCAAUGGCGUAGGCAGGUUACUGGGCCAUUUCUGACGCUAAGGCACGAAAGCGUGGGGAGCGAACCGGAUUAGAUACCCUUGUAGUCC
Molecule: ribosomal RNA, 427 nt
Filed under: uncultured bacterium
Lineage: Bacteria
Description: partial 16S ribosomal RNA
Rfam family: Bacterial small subunit ribosomal RNA
Source: RNAcentral